RNAcentral lists this ribosomal RNA (119 nucleotides) under Pteropus alecto (black flying fox). Lineage: Eukaryota; Metazoa; Chordata; Mammalia; Chiroptera; Pteropodidae. The record is from RNAcentral.
GUCUACGGCCAUGCCACCCUGAACAAGCCUGAUCCUGACUGAUCUCGGAAGCUAAGCAGGGUCGGGCCUGGUUAGUACUUGGAUGGGAGACCACCUAGGAGGACCAGGUGCUGUAGGCA